This is a long non-coding RNA of Gopherus agassizii (Agassiz's desert tortoise), 1152 nucleotides long. Lineage: Eukaryota; Metazoa; Chordata; Testudines; Testudinidae. The record is from Ensembl.
AUGAGAGAGAUUAAAACAUUCUUGAGUUAUAAGGCACUGGACAGCAUGGGUAUGUGGGGAUCCAGGGCACUGCACUACAUGGGUAUGUGGGGAUACAGGCCGCUGCACUGCAUGGGAAUGUGGGGAUGCAGAGUGCUGCAGAGCAUGGGAAUGUGGGAAUUCAGGGUGCUGCAGAGCACAGGAAUGUGGGAAUCCAGGGCACUGCAGAGCACAGGAAUGAGGGGACACAGGGCACUGCAGAGCACAGGAAUGUGGGGAUACAGGCCGCUGCACUGCAUGGGAAUGUGGGGAUGCAGAGCGCUGCAGAGCAUGGGAAUGUGGGAAUUCAGGGUGCUGCAGAGCACAGGAAUAUGGGAAUCCAGGGUGCUGCAGAGCACAGGAAUGAGGGGACACAGGGCACUGCAGAGCACAGGAAUGUGGGGAUACAGGCCGCUGCACUGCAUGGGAAUAUGGGGAUGCAGAGCGAUGCAGAGCAUGGGAAUGUGGGAAUUCAGGGCACUGCAGAGCACAGUAAUGUGGGAAUCCAGGGCGCUGCAGAGCACAGGAAUGUGGGAAUCCAGGGCACUGCAGAGCAUGGGAAUGUGGGAAUCCAAGGCACUGCAGAGCACAGGAAUGUGGGAAUCCAAGGCACUGCAGAGCAUAGGAAUGAGAGGACACAGGGCACUGCAGAGCACANGCGCUGCAGAGCACAGGAAUGUGGGGAUACAGGCCGCUGCACUGCAUGGGAAUAUGGGGAUGCAGAGUGCUGCAGAGCAUGGGAAUGUGGGAAUUCAGGGCACUGCAGAGCACAGUAAUGUGGGAAUCCAGGGCGCUGCAGAGCACAGGAAUGUGGGAAUCCAGGGCACUGCAGAGCAUGGGAAUGUGGGAAUCCAAGGCACUGCAGAGCACAGGAAUGUGGGAAUCCAAGGCACUGCAGAGCAUAGGAAUGAGAGGACACAGGGCACUGCAGAGCACAGGAAUGUGGGAAUACAGGGCACUGCAGAGCACAGGAAUGUGGGAAUCCAGGGCACUGCAGAGCACAGGAAUGUGGGAAUCCAGGGCACUGCAGAGCACAGGAAUGUGGGAAUCCAGGGCACUGCAGAGCAUAGGAAUGAUGGGACACGGCACUGCAGAGCACAGGAAUGUGGGAAUCCAGGGCACUGCAGAGCAUAG